CCUGACUGCUAUCGGAUUGAUACUAAGCCAUGCGAGUCUUUGCAGUAAUGCAAGGCAUACGGCUCAGUAACACGUAGUCAACUUACCCUAUGGACGAGGAUAAUCUCGGGAAACUGAGCAUAAUACUCGAUAGAUCAUAAUGCCUGGAAUGGUUUAUGGUUGAAAUGAUUCGUCGCCAUAGGAUGGGACUGCGGCCUAUCAGCUUGUUGGUGAGGUAAUGGCCCACCAAGGCGAUUACAGGUACGGGCUCUGAGAGGAGAAGCCCGGAGAUGGGUACUGAGACAAGGACCCAGGCCCUAUGGGGCGCAGCAGGCGAGAAAACUUUGCAAUGUGCGAAAGCACGACAAGGUUAAUCCGAGUGAUUUCUGCUAAAGGAAUCUUUUGCAAGUCAUAAAACCACUAGUGAAUAAGGGGUGGGCAAGUUCUGGUGUCAGCCGCCGCGGUAAAACCAGCACCUCAAGUGGUCAGGAGGAUUAUUGGGCCUAAAGCAUCCGUAGCCGGCUCUGUAAGUUUUCGGUUAAAUCCAUGUGCUCAACGCAUGGGCUGCCGAAAAUACUGCAUAGCUAGGGAGUGGGAGAGGUAGACGGUACUCAGUAGGAAGGGGUAAAAUCCUUUGAUCUAUUGAUGACCACCUGUGGCGAAGGCGGUCUACCAGAACACGUUCGACGGUGAGGGAUGAAAGCUGGGGGAGCAAACCGGAUUAGAUACCCGGGUAGUCCCAGCUGUAAACGAUGCAGACUCGAUGAUGCAUUGGCAUAUAGCCAGUGCAGUGUCGCAGGGAAGCCGUUAAGUCUGCCGCCUGGGAAGUACGUACGCAAGUAUGAAACUUAAAGGAAUUGGCGGGGGAGCACCACAAGGGGUGAAGCCUGCGGUUC
This 875-nucleotide ribosomal RNA is filed under the name uncultured archaeon. Its description in RNAcentral is "bacterial SSU rRNA". It matches the Rfam family "Archaeal small subunit ribosomal RNA", at positions 21 to 903 of the family's 1478-position model. The record is from RNAcentral.